RNAcentral lists this ribosomal RNA (388 nucleotides) under uncultured eukaryote. RNAcentral's name for it is "partial 18S ribosomal RNA". It matches the Rfam family "Eukaryotic small subunit ribosomal RNA", at positions 592 to 976 of the family's 1831-position model. The record is from RNAcentral.
CAAUAGCGUAUAUUAAAGUUGUUGCAGUUAAAAAGCUCGUAGUUGGAUUUCUGAUCGAGACAUCAGGUCGGGUCCGAGAGGAUCAUGUACUUUGAUUUUGUUUUGAUCAUCCUUGGGGAGAGCAUUUCUGGCAUUCAGUUGUCGGGAUUGGGAUCCUCAUCGUUUACUGUGAAAAAAUUAGAGUGUUCAAAGCAGGCCUCGGCCUCUGAAUACAUUAGCAUGGAAUAAUAAGAUAGGACUUUGGUGGUCUAUUUUGUUGGUUUGCACGCCAAAGUAAUGAUUAAUAGUGAUAGUUGGGGGUAUUCGUAUUCAAUUGUCAGAGGUGAAAUUCUUGGAUUUAUGGAAGACGAACUACUGCGAAAGCAUUUACCAAGGAUGUUUUCAUUAA